Molecule: ribosomal RNA, 162 nt
Filed under: Escherichia coli
Lineage: Bacteria; Pseudomonadati; Pseudomonadota; Gammaproteobacteria; Enterobacterales; Enterobacteriaceae
Also listed under: 1 other name
Description: partial 16S ribosomal RNA
Rfam family: Bacterial small subunit ribosomal RNA
Source: RNAcentral
AAAUUGAAGAGUUUGAUCAUGGCUCAGAUUGAACGCUGGCGGCAGGCCUAACACAUGCAAGUCGAACGGUAACAGAAAGCAGCUUGCUGCUUUGCUGACGAGUGGCGGACGGGUGAGUAAUGUCUGGGAAACUGCCUGAUGGAGGGGGAUAACUACUGGAAA